RNAcentral lists this unclassified non-coding RNA (329 nucleotides) under soil metagenome. RNAcentral's name for it is "partial contains 5.8S ribosomal RNA, internal transcribed spacer 2, and large subunit ribosomal RNA". The stretch from base 1 to 120 matches the Rfam family "5.8S ribosomal RNA", at positions 35 to 154 of the family's 154-position model. The record is from RNAcentral.
GAUGAAGAACGUAGUGAAAUGCGAUAAGUAAUGCGAAUUGCAGAAUUCCGUGAGUCAUCGAAUCUUUGAACGCACAUUGCGCCCUCUGGUAUUCCGGAGGGCAUGCCUGUUCGAGCGUCAUUACAACCCUCAAGCUCUGCUUGGUAUUGGGCCCCGCCAGUUCUGGCGGGCCCUAAAGUCAGUGGCGGUGCCUUCCGGCUCCGAGCGUAGUAAUUCUUCUCGCUCUGGAGACCCGGUUGUGUGCUUGCCAACAACCCCCAAUUUUUUAAGGUUGACCUCGGAUCAGGUAGGGAUACCCGCUGAACUUAAGCAUAUCAAUAAGCGGAGGA